AGUGAACGCUGGCGGUAGGCCUAACACAUGCAAGUCGAACGGCAGCACAGUAAGAGCUUGCUCUUACGGGUGGCGAGUGGCGGACGGGUGAGGAAUACAUCGGAAUCUACUUUUUCGUGGGGGAUAACGUAGGGAAACUUACGCUAAUACCGCAUACGACCUACGGGUGAAAGCAGGGGAUCUUCGGACCUUGCGCGAUUGAAUGAGCCGAUGUCGGAUUAGCUAGUUGGCGGGGUAAAGGCCCACCAAGGCGACGAUGCGUAGCUGGUCUGAGAGGAUGAUCAGCCACAAUGGAACUGAGACACGGUCCAGACUCCUACGGGAGGCAGCAGUGGGGAAUAUUGGACAAUGGGCGCAAGCCUGACCCAGCCAUACAGCGUGGGUGAAGAAGGCCUUCGGGUUGUAAAGACCUUUUGUUGGGAAAGAAAAGCAGCAGGUUAAUACCACGCUGUUCUGACGGUACCCAAAGAAUAAGCACCGGCUAACUUCGU
RNAcentral lists this ribosomal RNA (491 nucleotides) under uncultured bacterium. RNAcentral describes it as "partial 16S ribosomal RNA". It matches the Rfam family "Bacterial small subunit ribosomal RNA", at positions 29 to 506 of the family's 1533-position model. The record is from RNAcentral.